UAAGCGGAGGAAAAGAAACCAACAGGGAUUGCCUCAGUAACGGCGAGUGAAGCGGCAAAAGCUCAAAUUUGAAAUCUAGCACCUUCGGUGUUCGAGUUGUAAUUUGAAGAUGGUAACCUUGGGUUUGGCUCUUGUCUAUGUUCCUUGGAACAGGACGUCAUAGAGGGUGAGAAUCCCGUCUGAUGAGAUGCCCAUUCCUAUGUAAGGUGCUAUCGAAGAGUCGAGUUGUUUGGGAAUGCAGCUCUAAGUGGGUGGUAAAUUCCAUCUAAAGCUAAAUAUUGGCGAGAGACCGAUAGCGAACAAGUACAGUGAUGGAAAGAUGAAAAGAACUUUGAAAAGAGAGUGAAAAAGUACGUGAAAUUGUUGAAAGGGAAGGGCAUUAGAUCAGACUUGGUGUUUUACGAUUAUCUUCUCUUCUUGAGUUGUGCACUCGUAUUUCACUGGGCCAGCAUCGAUUCGGAUGGCAAGAUAAUGGCAGUUGAAUGUGGCUUCACUUCGGUGGAGUGUUAUAGCUUCUGCUGAUAUUGCCUGUCUGGAUCGAGGGCUGCGUCUUUUGACUAGGAUGCUGGCGUAAUGAUCUAAUGCCGCCCGUCUUGA
This 597-nucleotide ribosomal RNA is filed under the name Hansenula anomala. Its description in RNAcentral is "eukaryotic LSU rRNA". It matches the Rfam family "Eukaryotic large subunit ribosomal RNA", at positions 47 to 657 of the family's 3401-position model. Lineage: Eukaryota; Fungi; Ascomycota; Saccharomycetes; Phaffomycetales; Wickerhamomycetaceae. The record is from RNAcentral.